RNAcentral lists this ribosomal RNA (311 nucleotides) under uncultured bacterium. RNAcentral's name for it is "bacterial SSU rRNA". It matches the Rfam family "Bacterial small subunit ribosomal RNA", at positions 30 to 325 of the family's 1533-position model. The record is from RNAcentral.
AGUGAACGCUGGCGGCAGGCCUAACACAUGCAAGUCGAGCGGCAGCGGGUUCCCGCGAGGGGAUGCCGGCGAGCGGCGGACGGGUGAGGAACACAUCGGAAUCUGCCUGGUUGUGGGGAUAACGUAGGGAAACUUACGCUAAUACCGCAUGCGACCCUGAGUCGACGGACUGGGGGUGAAAGUGAGGGACCUUCGGCCUCACGCGACCAGAUGAGCCGAUGUCGGAUUAGCUAGUUGGCGGGGUAACGGCCCGCCAAGGCGACGAUCCGUAGCUGGUCUGAGAGGAUGAUCAGCCACACUGGGACUGAGAC